AUUUUGGUCAAUGGGCGAAAGCCUGAACCAGCAACGCCGCGUGGGUGAUGAAGGCCUUCGGGUUGUAAAGCCCUGUCGGGAGGGACGAAACCUCCGGUUAACCGCCGGAGCUGACGGUACCUUCAAAGGAAGCACCGGCUAACUCUGUUCCAGCAGCCGCGGUAAUACAGAGGGUGCAAGCGUUGUUCGGAAUUACUGGGCGUAAAGCGCGUGGAGGCGGCGCAGCAAGUCUUGUGUGAAAGCCCUGGGCUCAACCCAGGAAGUGCGCGAGAUACUGCAGUGCUGGAGUGCUGGAGAGGGUGGCGGAUUUCCCGGUGUAGAGGUGAAAUUCGUAGAUAUCGGGAGGAACACCUGUGGCGAAGGCGGCCACCUGGACAGUGACUGACGCUGAGACGCGAAAGCGUGGGUAGCAAA
Molecule: ribosomal RNA, 414 nt
Filed under: uncultured bacterium
Lineage: Bacteria
Description: bacterial SSU rRNA
Rfam family: Bacterial small subunit ribosomal RNA
Source: RNAcentral